RNAcentral lists this ribosomal RNA (494 nucleotides) under uncultured bacterium. RNAcentral describes it as "partial 16S ribosomal RNA". It matches the Rfam family "Bacterial small subunit ribosomal RNA", at positions 28 to 507 of the family's 1533-position model. The record is from RNAcentral.
GACGAACGCUGGCGGCGUGCCUAACACAUGCCAGUCGAACGGAAAGGCCUGCUUUCCCUUGUGGAUUGCGGGUACUCGAGUGGCGAACGGGUGAGUAACACGUGAGUGAUCUGCCCCCAACUUGGGUAUAAGCCUGGGAAACUGGGUCUAAUUCCCGAUAGGACUGCAGGGUGGUGCCUGUGGUGGAACACGAUUUUCUAGUGGUUGGGGAUGAGCUCGCGGCCUAUCAGCUUGUUGGGGGGGUAAUGGCCUACCAAGGCGGCGACGGGUAGCCGGCCUGAGGGGGUGGACGGCCACAUUGGGACUGAGAUGCGGCCCAGACUCCUACGGGAGGCAGCAGUGGGGAAUAUUGCACAAUGGGCGGAAGCCUGAUGCAGCGACGCCGCGUGGGGGAUGACGGCCUUCGGGUUGUAAACUCCUUUCGACCGCGAGGAAGCCACCUGGUUGGAAGGGUGGUGACGGUAGUGGUAGAAGAAGCACCGGCUAACUACGUG